AAACUAACAAGGAUUCCCCUAGUAGCGGCGAGCGAAGCGGGAAGAGCUCAAAUUUGUAAUCUGGCGUCCUCAGGGCGUCCGAGUUGUAAUCUAUAGAGACGUUUUCCGUGCCGGACCGUGUCCAAGUCCCUUGGAACAGGGUAUCAAAGAGGGUGACAAUCCCGUACUUGACACGACGACCGGUGCUCUGUGAUACGUUUUCUACGAGUCGAGUUGUUUGGGAAUGCAGCUCAAAAUGGGUGGUAAAUUCCAUCUAAAGCUAAAUAUAGGCGAGAGACCGAUAGCGAACAAGUACCGUGAGGGAAAGAUGAAAAGCACUUUGGAAAGAGAGUUAAACAGUAUGUGAAAUUGUUGAAAGGGAAACGAUUGAAGUCAGUCAUGUCCAUUGGAUUCAGCUGGUUCUGCCAGUGUAUUUCCUUUGGACGGGUCAACAUCAGUUUGAGCCGGCGGAUAAUGGCAGAGGGAAUGUGGCACCCCCGGGUGUGUUAUAGCCCUUUGUCGCAUACGUCGGCCCAGACUGAGGAAUGCAGCUCGCCUUUAUGGCCGGGGUUCGCCCACGUACGAGCUUAGGAUGUUGGCAUAAUGGCUUUAAACGAC
Molecule: ribosomal RNA, 597 nt
Filed under: Saitozyma flava
Lineage: Eukaryota; Fungi; Basidiomycota; Tremellomycetes; Tremellales; Trimorphomycetaceae
Description: partial large subunit ribosomal RNA
Rfam family: Eukaryotic large subunit ribosomal RNA
Source: RNAcentral